CGAACGGGUGAGUAACACGUGGGCAACCUGCCCAAAAGAGGGGGAUAACACUUGGAAACAGGUGCUAAUACCGCAUAACCAUAGUUACCGCAUGGUAGCUAUGUAAAAGGUGGCUAUGCUACCGCUUUUGGAUGGGCCCGCGGCGCAUUAGCUAGUUGGUGGGGUAAAGGCUUACCAAGGCAAUGAUGCGUAGCCGAACUGGGAGGUUGAUCGGCCACAUUGGGACUGAGACACGGCCCAAACUCCUACGGGAGGCAGCAG
This 261-nucleotide ribosomal RNA is filed under the name uncultured bacterium. Its description in RNAcentral is "partial 16S ribosomal RNA". It matches the Rfam family "Bacterial small subunit ribosomal RNA", at positions 99 to 354 of the family's 1533-position model. The record is from RNAcentral.